GACGAACGCUGGCGGCGUGCUUAACACAUGCAAGUCGAACGGAAAGGCCCUGCUUUUGUGGGGUGCUCGAGUGGCGAACGGGUGAGUAACACGUGAGUAACCUGCCCUUGACUUUGGGAUAACUUCAGGAAACUGGGGCUAAUACCGGAUAGGAGCUCCGGCUGCAUGGUGGGGGUUGGAAAGUUUCGGCGGUUGGGGAUGGACUCGCGGCUUAUCAGCUUGUUGGUGGGGUAGUGUCUUACCAAGGCUUUGACGGGUAGCCGGCCUGAGAGGGUGACCGGCCACAUUGGGACUGAGAUACGGCCCAGACUCCUACGGGAGGCAGCAGUGGGGAAUAUUGCACAAUGGGCGGAAGCCUGAUGCAGCAACGCCGCGUGCGGGAUGACGGCCUUCGGGUUGUAAACCGCUUUCGCCUGUGACGAAGCGUGAGUGACGGUAAUGGGUAAAGAAGCACCGGCUAACUACGUG
RNAcentral lists this ribosomal RNA (468 nucleotides) under uncultured bacterium. RNAcentral describes it as "partial 16S ribosomal RNA". It matches the Rfam family "Bacterial small subunit ribosomal RNA", at positions 28 to 507 of the family's 1533-position model. The record is from RNAcentral.